AUGCCAAAGAUGACAGUGGAGAUAAAAACCUUGGGGGAACCAGGCUCAGACAGGGUGCCAGAAAAAAAACAAGAACAAAAAAACAGCAUGGUGUGGUUUAAUCCCAUGCUGCAACACAGGUCAGAUUGUGCAGAGGACUUGUCUGGUUUCCAUGGUCUUGUCCCGAUGGCUGUCUACUUGAUGUGGCCUUCGCAGGGGAUCUGUCUCUGGGGCACAUCUAGUUGACAUGGUCUCCCCUGACAUUCAGGGCUGUAGAGGUCGUCUCUAAGUGCUGAUCCACCAUCUGGUCUGGAAACAGACUGGAUCUGGGUCUCUACGGUGACCUCAAAAUAAGAAUGAUACAGACUAAUAUUAGCCUAGAUGCCAUUCUUCUUAUGAUGUAGCGAGUAGAUCAGGUGUAAUGGGAAGUGUUGCUGGUUUACCUAAUUAUUGCAGCCUAGGAAUCCUUGGUAACACUUUAUUUUAGCGUCUCUUAACUAGUUGCUUAUCAGCAUGCAAAUUAAUAGAAUAUUAGCCAUUUAUUAGUAGUAAUUAAGCACAUAUUAAUGCCUUAUUCUACAUGACCUUAUUCUACAUCCCUAAUCUUACCCAAUAUCUAAACUUAAAAUACCUUACUAAGUAACAUUUUUAUUUAUAUAGCACUUUUCACAAAGUGCUUUACACAGUAUAAAAACACAAUCAUAAAAGAAACAUUUAUGAAGAGCAAUACACAAUGUGAAAAGAACAAAAUUCAUAAGAUAUUGUAGGCACAUCUAUACAAUAUGUUUCCAAUCGACCUUUAAAAACAGACAGAGAAUCAGAAGAUCUCAUAUCCGCUGGCAAACUAUUCCAUAGUUUUGGAGCCCUCACUGCAAAUGCCCUAUCUCCUUUUGUUUUCAAUCUAGUUCUAGGAACUACCAGUAGUUCAUUAAAAGAGGAUCUAAGACAUCUCCCUGUUUCGUACAGUUUCAAAAGUUCAGUUAAAUACAAAAAUAAAAUAAAAUAAUCUCAAAAUCAAUCCUAAAAUAAACAGGUAACCCAUGGAGAGAAGCUAAAACUUUGUUUGUAUCAAUAAUCUCGCUGCAGAAUUCUGCACUAAUUGUAACCGCGAUAAAUUAUGAUGGUUCAAAGAAGAAAACAAGACAUUGCAAUAAUCAAGACGGGAAGAAAUAAAAGCAUGAAUAAGCUUCUCUGUAUCAUUAAAAUUUAAAAACCGUCUCACCUUAGAUAUAUUUCUUAACUGAUAAAAACAAGAUUGAACCAACUUCUUGACAUGGAAUUCAAAGGUUAAAUUCGUAUCAAAAUAAUUCCCCAAAUUUCUUACCACCUGCUUAUUAUUAGGAAAAACGUCUCAGGUUAUGCAUGUAAGCAUGGGUCCCUGAGAAUAGGGAACGAGACGCUGCGUCCUCUAGAGGGCGCUAUGGGAACGCUGUCAGCGUUGCCGGUGUCUGAAGCAUGAAUGAAAAAACGACAAUGAACUUGACAUUUGCAGGCGGAAGCCUAUGGCGUAAGCUAAUGUGCGACUGCGGAUAUAAAAGGGCACUUGUAGAACACAUCACCCUCUUUUUUGUCUGAGGAGACACGGCAUGAUGCCGAAGCAUGGCACAGAGACGCAGCGUCUCGUUCCCUAUUCUCAGGGAACCAUGGUUACAUGCGUAACCUGAGACGUUCCCUUUCGAAAGGGAACUCCACGUUGCGUCCUCUAGAGCAGUGGUUCUCAACUCCAGGCCUCGGGACCCGCUGCUCUGCACAUUUUGAAUGUUUCUGAAUCUGACACACUCAGUUCAGUUCAUGGAUCUCUCUUCUAAUGAGCUGAUGAUCUGAAUCAGGUGCGAUAAAUAAGGGAGACAAACAAAAUGUGCAGAGCAGUGGGUCCCGAGGACUGGAGUUGAGAACCACUGCUCUAGAGGGCACUAUGGGAACGGUAUACCAACGCCGCCAUGCUGAGGGAAAAGUGCCUAGGUAACCAUUUCCCCAAGUCAGGACUUUAGGAACAGCAUCCCUACUAGCAAAACGCUAGGCUUUACGGCAGGCUCAUGCUCAAUCAUCAUAGACUAACCCACCGUCCAAGUCUGGAGCUCUAAGAAUGGAGGUCUCAGUAUUUAAUGAAUCUCUAAAGCGAGAGGAG
This is a long non-coding RNA of Cyprinus carpio carpio, 2107 nucleotides long. The record is from Ensembl. Lineage: Eukaryota; Metazoa; Chordata; Actinopteri; Cypriniformes; Cyprinidae.